RNAcentral lists this ribosomal RNA (619 nucleotides) under uncultured bacterium. RNAcentral describes it as "bacterial SSU rRNA". It matches the Rfam family "Bacterial small subunit ribosomal RNA", at positions 61 to 682 of the family's 1533-position model. The record is from RNAcentral.
GUCGAACGAAGGAUUGUGAGGAAACGUAAGUAGAGACACAAUGACUGAGUGGCGGACGGGUGAGUAACGCGUAGGGAACCUGGCCCUUACAGGGGGAUAACAGAUGGAAACAACUGCUAAUACCGCAUAAGCGCACGGCCCCGCAUGAGGGAGUGUGAAAAACUACGGUGGUAAGGGACGGCCCUGCGUCCGAUUAGCUAGUUGGUAUGGUAAAGGCAUACCAAGGCAACGAUCGGUAGCCGGCCUGAGAGGGUGAACGGCCACAUUGGGACUGAGACACGGCCCAAACUCCUACGGGAGGCAGCAGUGGGGGAUAUUGCACAAUGGGGGGAACCCUGAUGCGGGGGCGGAGAAAAAAAAGAGGAAGCGCUUCGGCGUCUCCCGCCCUAUCAGUGGGGAAGAAAAGAGACGGUACCCAAAGAAGAAGCACCGGCUAAAUACGUGCCAGCAGCCGCGGUAAUACGUAUGGUGCAAGCGUUAUCCGGAAUGACUGGGUGUAAAGGGAGCGUAGACGGUUGUUCAAGUCUGAUGUGAAAGCCCUCGGCUUAACUGGGGGAGUGCAUUGGAAACUGAAGGACUAGAGUAUCGGAGAGGCAAGUGGAAUUCCUAGUGUAGCGGU